AGCUUUAAGUUUUAUUUAAAGUGAGACCUGCCCAGUGCUAAUUAGUAAACGGCCGCAGUACCUUGACUGUGCUAAGGUAGCAUAAUCAGUUGGCUUUUAAAUGGAGUCGGGAAUGAAUGGAUUAAUAGGGUUAAGCUGUCUCUACUAUAUUAAAUUGAACUUACUUAUUAGGUGAAAAUGCCUAAGUUGUAAAAGAAAAAAGACGAGAAGACCCUAGGAGUUUUAACUAGAUGCUAUUUAUUAUAGUUAAUGUUUUUGUUGGGGCGACGUUGGAACAAUUUUAUUUAACUUCCUUUAUGUUUAUAGGCCGACUUUGUAUGUAAAUCUAAACUACCCUAGGGAUAACAGCGUAAUUCUUUUUGAGCUUGCGACCUCGAUGUUGGACUAGGAAUUUGGUGGGCUAGCCGCCUAUUUAUAUUGUUCUGUUCGAACUGUUUUUCCUACAU
Molecule: ribosomal RNA, 446 nt
Filed under: Plakobranchus ocellatus
Lineage: Eukaryota; Metazoa; Mollusca; Gastropoda; Plakobranchidae
Description: partial 16S ribosomal RNA
Rfam family: Bacterial large subunit ribosomal RNA
Source: RNAcentral